UAGGCUGUAGUUUAACUUUAUAAUUAGGGCUUUGGGUGUUCUAGGUACCCUGUCGGGUCAGCCUAA
This 66-nucleotide transfer RNA is filed under the name Xylophaga washingtona. Its description in RNAcentral is "tRNA-Pro". Lineage: Eukaryota; Metazoa; Mollusca; Bivalvia; Myida; Xylophagaidae. The record is from RNAcentral.